Triticum dicoccoides is the source of this 1055-nucleotide long non-coding RNA. RefSeq lists it as uncharacterized. The record is from RefSeq and is a predicted model, not a curated record. Lineage: Eukaryota; Viridiplantae; Streptophyta; Magnoliopsida; Poales; Poaceae. The transcript is spliced from 3 exons.
UCAAAAUAGUUUCUCUCCACCACACCCUUCUCCCCUGAUACCUCUCUCAAUCUCACCAGAACGUGUGGCCGCCACCUCAUAUUCCGGGCGACUACGGCGCCCACGCCGUUGCUCACCGGCCUGCUCUACCGCCGCGACAUCCUCCGCGCCCCAGCACCCGCCCCCGCAACAACCCUCGUCGGCACAGGUCGCUGGCAUAGCCACAGCGGCUCCGGUUUGUUGGCCCACUGCCACUACAACUCAUCACAUCCACCAUUGACGCCCCCAUAUCCUACCUCCCCUCUCCUUUCUCGCCCCGCUCCCAGCACCAUAUCUUGUAUGGAACCUAACUCUAGAUCGGUGAUUGCCUUGCCCAAUUGUGUGAGCAUCUAACCCUGCACGAUGGUGACCAACAGAUUCAUGAUGCUCGAGGCGAUGGCCGCUUUCAGCAGUGGCCCCGUGAGAGAAUUAGGAUGCCGACCAAGGAGGACCUGGAGGAUCUUGACGCUGCCUCGACAUUGGCUUCAGGCAUAUCAUGUAAUCUCCGAGAUCUGUAAAUCUCAAGUAUGUCAUGGCGUCGAGGUCCAAUGCUAUUUCCCGGCGGUGUCCUCCACAACUAGGAUCCCCUAAUGAUGCUCUGCAUAAUCCUUUUUUUGCCACCAGAAAUGGAAAAGAAACAACAUGAGAUUUUCGGGUGAGCUUGAGUGCUUCAUGCCAUGGCGUGGUUUUUUUUAUGCUGUACAAAUCCUCCCAGUGGAAUCAAGAAUAAUAUCACAAUUGGCCACCAUCUACACUACAGUCUAUAUGGCCGAUCAAGUCUGCAAGUAGUUGAUCAUUUAUUUUUAUUGGAAGAAAUAUAUGAACUAUUCUGUUUUUUUACUUUGGAUGUCUUUAUGGUGCAAUUCACCACUAAUUAACUGAGAGUCUGAAGCAUUAAUCGUUUAUAUGAUGGAUCUUCGUUUAUAUGAUGGAUCUGUAAAGUAGGGUCUAGUAUAUUGUCCUUGUACACGUAUUUGUAUACGUAUGUAAUUGUAAUUGUGAUCCUCUAUAUAUUGAGACGUGAGGCUGGAUGUCAA